AGUGAACGCUGGCGGCGUGCCUAAUACAUGCAAGUCGAACGGACAAGUAAGAGCUUGCUCUUAUGAGUUAGUGGCGCACGGGUGAGUAAUGUAUAGCUAAUCUGCCCUACACUAGAGGACAACAGUUGGAAACGACUGCUAAUACUCUAUACACCUCUCUAGCAUAAGUUAGAUAGGGAAAGUUUUUCGGUGUAGGAUGAGGCUAUAUUGUAUCAGCUAGUUGGUGAGGUAAUGGCUCACCAAGGCUAUGACGCAUAACUGGUCUGAGAGGAUGAUCAGUCACACUGGAACUGAGACACGGUCCAGACUCCUACGGGAGGCAGCAGUAGGGAAUAUUGCUCAAUGGGGGAAACCCUGAAGCAGCAACGCCGCGUGGAGGAUGACACUUUUCGGAGCGUAAACUCCUUUUGUUAGGGAAGAACAAUGACGGUACCUAACGAAUAAGCACCGGCUAACUCCGUGCCAGCAGCCGCGGUAAUACGGAGGGUGCAAGCGUUACUCGGAAUCACUGGGCGUAAAGGACGCGUAGGCGGAUUAUCAAGUCUCUUGUGAAAUCCUAUGGCUUAACCAUAGAACUGCUUGGGAAACUGAUAAUCUAGAGUGAGGGAGAGGCAGAUGGAAUUGGUGGUGUAGGGGGUAAAAUCCGUAGAGAUCACCAGGAAUACCCAUUGCGAUGGCGAUCUGCUGGAACUCAACUGACGCUCAUGCGUGAAAGCGUGGGGAGCAAACAGG
Molecule: ribosomal RNA, 732 nt
Filed under: uncultured Campylobacter sp.
Lineage: Bacteria; Pseudomonadati; Campylobacterota; Epsilonproteobacteria; Campylobacterales; Campylobacteraceae
Description: bacterial SSU rRNA
Rfam family: Bacterial small subunit ribosomal RNA
Source: RNAcentral